Leopardus geoffroyi (Geoffroy's cat) is the source of this 386-nucleotide long non-coding RNA. RefSeq lists it as uncharacterized. The transcript is spliced from 2 exons. NCBI's taxonomy places the organism in Eukaryota, Metazoa, Chordata, Mammalia, Carnivora, Felidae. The record is from RefSeq and is a predicted model, not a curated record.
UAGCUCCCAGCCCACUGACUCGGGUUUCUGGAUCAGGAGACAAACAGAGAAGGCAGCUUAAAGUUCUUUCCUCACUGCAGCUCAGGAAGGAGAGGCUCUGCACCCAGCACAAGAGCACAUCCUGGCACUUGAACUCAUGAUUCUGAGAUCAAGACCUGAGCCGAGAUCAAGAGGCAAUCGCUGAUGGAGCCAUCCAGACGCCCCCAGUUCAUUCCCUUUUGAUGGCUGAAUAAUAUUCCAGUGUACGGAUAGACCACAUUUUGUUAUCCCUUCAUCAAUUGAUGGAAUUUAGGUUGUCGUCCCUUUUGGCCAUUGUGAAUAAUGCUGGAUAAUAUUGUACAAGUAUUUGUUUUCAAUUACUUGGGGUAUAUACCUAAGAAUGAGAA